AAAUGAGGUAUCACUACAUAUU
RNAcentral lists this non-coding RNA (22 nucleotides) under Rattus norvegicus (Norway rat). Lineage: Eukaryota; Metazoa; Chordata; Mammalia; Rodentia; Muridae. The record is from RNAcentral.